GGAGCCGGGAAGUGGGAGAGCGAGCACCACCGUUUCCCCGGAGGUUGGUCCAGGGACAACGCGCGCCAGAGGGCAUCCUGCAACCCAUAGGCAGGCCGACGGGCCCUGGUCCCCGGGAUGAACCGAUGCCCACGGAACACACUUCCAAUCCCGCGCGGACGUGGCUGGCAGGUUGUAUUCUGCACCAAAACCUACCGGUCGGAGCCCCAGAGGCCAUGGUGAAAGUCAACGGCCGUCCCUUCAAGGCCCUGUUAGACUCUGGUAGUGCCGUGAGCCUGGUCCAAACCCACGUGCUUCCUCCACGGAGUGACAGUAAAGCCCAGUUCCCAAUAACGUGCGUACACGGGGACACUCGGCAGGUCCCUGCCCGCCGUGUCACUAUCUCCGCCGCCCCUGGAUCCUGGCCCGUAGAAGUCGGAAUAAUGAGGGACCUGCCAGUGCCCGUGCUGCUCAGAAGAGAUUGGGUGGGCUUUGAGGCCCUGUUGGCCGCCGCUACCCAGCCUGCCAGCCCUGGAGGGGCCCGCCAAGGCCGACGCACCCAACACCGGACAUGCUGCAACCCCGUUCUCCUGGCUUCGGACAGUGGGAGAGAUGGUGAGUCCCCCUCCCAAACUAAUAAUCUGUUUUAUGAUGUCUACCAACAGGUCACGGGAGGGGGCUCGCUUGGCCAGGCGCAGCGGGAAGAUGAUAGACUGAAACCCUGCUGGGCAAAAGUGUGCACACUGGAAGGCAAGGAUGUCCGGCCAAAACCCCAGCCUCUCCCACACUUCAUUGUGGAGAACGGCCUGCUCUUUUGGGUUGCCCAGCGGCGUGGGGAGGAAAAACGGUUACUGGUGGUACCCCGGUCAAAAACGGAGGUGGUUCUGCAGUUGGCACAUACACAUCCCCUGGCUGGACACCUGGGGGCAGCAAAUACCGCACAGCGCAUUCGUAACCGGUUUCUUUGGCCAGGGUUGGACGCCGAAGCGGUUUUGUCAAGCCUGUCCUGUUUGCCAGAGAACUUCACCCAAACCGCCUCCCCCCACACCGCUAAUUCCGCUGCCAAUUAUAGGGGUGCCCUUCGAGCGCAUCGGGAUGGAUCUGGUGGGGCCGUUGCCAAAGUCAGCCCGGGGGCACGAACACAUACUGGUGAUUGUCGACUACGCCACCAGGUACCCGGAAGCCGUGCCCCUACGGAAAGCCACCGCCAAGAACAUCGUGCAUGAGCUGUUCCUGUUCUUCAGCCGAGUCGGCAUCCCAGCAGAGAUACUGACCGAUCAGGGAACCCCGUUCAUGUCCCGGCUAAUGGCUGACCUCUGCCGCUUACUCCCGGUAAAACAACUCAGGACGUCAGUAUACCACCCACAGACUGAUGGGCUGACCGAGUGCUUCAAUAAAACCCUCAAACAAAUGCUGUGACGUGUAGCCACAGAGGAUAAACGGGACUGGGACGUGAUGCUGCCAUACGUUUUAUUCGGAGUCCGAAAGGUACCCCAAGCGUCCACUGGCUUCACCCCAUUUGAGCUUCUGUUCGGCCGACAGCCAAGGGGGCUACUGGAUGUCGCCAAAGAAGCUUGGGAACAACAGCAGCCUUCUCCCCAUCGUUCAGUCAUCGAACAUAUUACUGAAAUGCGGCAGAGGAUCGAACGCAU
Long non-coding RNA from Cyprinus carpio (common carp), 1631 nucleotides. Lineage: Eukaryota; Metazoa; Chordata; Actinopteri; Cypriniformes; Cyprinidae. The record is from Ensembl.